Molecule: non-coding RNA, 902 nt
Organism: Manis javanica (Malayan pangolin)
Lineage: Eukaryota; Metazoa; Chordata; Mammalia; Pholidota; Manidae
Source: RefSeq, a predicted model, not a curated record
UUUACAAGUGUCAGCCGUGCAGACGCCAGCCGGCCGCCUGCGUGUGGGAGGCGGCGUCUGCGGGGAUGAACGGCCGCGUGUGCGCCCUUGUGCGCGCGCGGGUGGUUGGGGAGCGGCUGGCCUGAUCUCUCCUUGCAAGAGGAACCUUCACUUUGGGGACUCCGUUGCUUCUAAGAGAGAGCGGGCGUCAACCACAGGAGGAAGCCGGGAGGGUCCUUUUUAUUCUUGCCCGCUGACCAUGGGCAAAUCGUAGGUCCACUCCGAGCCUCCGUUUCCUCGUCUGUAAAUCAAACGCAUGAUACCCAUCAUUCCGCAUUGCAAAGACUGGCUGAGGAUGCAGAAAGUGCUAAACCCAGCUUAUGGAAAUAAGAAAACCGAGCCCAGAGAAGGAAUUCACUGGCCUUGGGGACACAGAACAAACGUGAGACGGAGCUGCGUGCAAUUGGUCUCCCUUCCUCCAUCGCUCUCCUCUUCAGUGCAUUCUCCCUGCAGCCGCCAGAGGGCAUCCAUGAGCACCUGAGUCAGGUGCCCCGCCCACAACCCUUUAGGGUCUCCAUCUUCUUGGAGGUCAAAGCCCAAGUCCUCCCCCUGCCCCAUGAGGCCCUGCACUAACUGCCCUGUCCCCUCCCUACCCCCUUCCCGUCGCUCACUCUGCCGCAGCCACACGGGCCUCCUCCUCGCUAUUCCUCCCACACAAUAGCCACUGCCCUGCCCCAGGACCUUUGCAUGGGCUGUUCCUCCUGCCUGUAAUGCUGUUUCCUCGAGAUCUUCAAAGAGCAUCGUCUCAUCAGCUGCGGAGGAAGACCUUCAGUCCACCAGUGGCUCCUGGUCCUGGGAAAUCCUCUUUCCUGGGCCCCUGUUUCCUCAUCUGUAAAAUAAACAGGUAACAUUUUCCAAACCAG